CCUAGAAAGAACUAGGAAAUAUUUCAAAAAUUCAGCUGCUUUAUUGCUUUAUCAAGGGAAUUAGACAUUUUCAUGUAGGGGAUAUGAUAAUAAAUUAUUCUUCAGAAUUAUUCUGAGAGAAUCCUUAAAGGUCAUCUGAUCUAAUCCUAUGAUGAAUACCAGACUUCUCUCAGCAGCAUCCCUCCUAUGUGCUCCCUCUAGCUUUUGCCUGGACUGUCCUAGUGACAGGGACCUCAUUACCUCACCUGGCAGACCAUGCUGUCUUUGCACAGGUCUCACUGUUGGAGAAGAAAGGCUGGAUUGAAAUUUAGCUCCCUGGAACUUAUUCUCCCGGACCUACUUUUGUCCUCUAGAGUUGGUGGGGGGCUUUAUUUCUUUUGCAGAGGAUAGCCCUUGAAGUACUUGAAAACAGCUUUCAUGUCCCCUUAAAUCUUUUUUCCUCCUUGGGGUUAACUCCCUUAGUUCUUUCAUGAUCCUCGCUUGUUAUAAUUCCCAGAUUCUCUGUCUUCCUGUUGCCACCCCUCUGAUGCACGAGAGUUUGUCAGCACUUAUCCUGGAGUGUUGUCAGGAGGAAACACGACACAUUGGCGUGAUCCAGCAGUGCUGAGAAGAACAGGAUCAUCACCUCCCUCACCUCCUUCUUUUGUGCUCUGUUUCCAACCAUGCAGCCUAAACUCGCCUUAGGUUUUCUGAGAGUCACAUUACACCCUUGACUCAUACUGAGCUUGCAAUCAACAUGUAGCUCUUUUAGGUCCAUCUUCCAAAUUUGGAAAUUAUACAGCUGUGCUUUUUGUUCUUCUGAACCCAAGGGUGGGACUUCACAUUUCCCACUAGUAAACUUCAUUAUGUCAAAAUCAGUUCCUUGUUCCAACCCUUCAAGGUUGACUUGGAACCUUACUCUUUUACUCUAUUUAGUGAUUCCCUAAUUGAUUUUGUGUCAUCUGAAGUUUUGAUAAAUAUGCUCUCCGUGUCCCCAUUCAGGUUGUCAUUAAUUUUUUUUUCAAGCUGGACAGGAAAUUUCCUGAGGUCGGGUUUGCGGAGGAAGAUGAAGCAAAGCUGGAGUGACUCCACAGGGACGUUGUGUUUGGAUCAACAUGAAUGACUAAUGCAAUGCACUUUCUGGGGCUGUGAGUGGCUGGGCAACCAGGGUCCUAGACCCCAAAGGUGGAAGAAAGCUGGCAUUCCCACUCACCGCUCACAGCUCUCAGCUCAAAAGAGAGGGAAACGGAAAGAUAACACCGAUAAAAACACCAGCUCCACCCGAAUGACUCAAACGAAGGUGAGAAGAGACACAGGGAGAGACGGAGCCCAGCAGGGUAGGGACAGCAGGUGUGAACGUGUGCGUGUGUGCGUGCGUGCACAGGAAUGCCCACAGAUGCACUGAAUUAAGGAGUAAACAGAGAAAACCCUCCAGGAUAAGAAAAGGUGAUUGAAGUUGAUCAAGAAACUACUCCGGGUAAGAAUAAUGACAGUAAGAACCAUGCGCUACACUGUUCCAUUUGCUAUAUAUUUACUGACUGCUGCUCUGCGCAGGGCAUGUCCUGGGCUCUGAGGAUUCAGCAAGAAAUGAAACCAAGUUCUUGCCUUCAAGGAACUCAUGCUCGUGUCAGACAUGUGAGGCGCGGAACACACGUUGCUACCGCAUUUACAAACCACAGGAGGUGGUUUCUGUUCUCCCAAGCUACAAAUGCGGAAAUGGAAGCACAAAGAAGCUUUAAGAACUUGGCUGAGUCUCACACUAGAGCCAAGAUUUGAACUCAGGUCUGUCGGAGUCCAGAGCCCCUGAUUCUAACCCCUGGAAGACGACACACUGCCCCCACUCUCGAGUCCCAAGCUGAAGCCCCACUGGCCCUGUCUUAGUUAGUACAACUCCUUAGGCCAUCUUUUUCUCCUUGAACCUCAGUCUAUCCAUCUGUGAAAAAAGGGGGGGGGUGUGAUUGUUUGAUCUCUGAAAUCUCUUCCAGCUCCAGGGUUCUAUUAUUCUGGGGGGAAAUCUUUAUUGGUAUUCUUCCCCCUCCCAAGUAUGUCUUGUGGAGUUUAAGCAGAAGCUCAGUGGACGUUCACACAGAGACAAACAUCCAGAGUCCUGUUUCCCACACUGGGUUCCAAGGAUUUCUUUCCAGGGAUUUGGAACUUUCUAUGAGAAUUUAAUUUUUGCGAAACAGAUUCCUUGAGGGUCCUCAGCUCCAGAGAGAAGCAGAGGAGGGCGAGAAAGGGGGCAGGAGGGGGUGAAGAAGAAGAAGGGCUGCUGGGGGCUGAGACGCAGCUAGUCCAGGCCCAAGGCUCGGAGCCCGGGCGGGAGGUGUUGUUCAGGCUGCGCCUAGAACUGGGUGAGCGUGUGGCUAGAAUAUUUGAAAGGGGAGGGGCCCGUUGCCAGUUGCUAACCUCCAUGACUGAACAAGGUGAGAUGGGUCCCAUCUCUUCACCUUAACCCCCUGACCUCACCUGGCCGGUCAACCGCUCCUAAUGUGAGCUUUGUCGGACUGGAAAAGCGAGGUGGCAGCGGGAGCCUGGCCCGCCCAGUGGCUAAAUGCAGCCCGGGUGCCCCUGAUAAGCUUAGUGAACUUAUUAAAUUACACAGGAAAAAUAGAGAUGGAAUAUUAAUUCCACACACUCUCCUCUCAGCCUGGGGAACCUGCCUUCCUGGGUUUCACUUUUCAAAGGCUGAAAUAGAUACGGAGAUUUCACACUUAAUUAAAGGAGAAGGGUGCUCACUUCAAGUCUUUUCAAAACCAUUUUGGUUCUGAGCAGAGUGGAGCCAAUGGAGACCCAGUCACCAUCUGGCAUGAAAGGUGUGAACUCAGAGUCUCCCUUCAGCUCUAGACAUCAGAUGCACAAACAAAGAGAAUUAAUUUCGGAGGCCCCCUUAGAUGGCCCCUCCUGCUCCAGCUGUAAGUGGAGAGCCCGUGCAUUGACUAGCAAGGUAUUAAAAAGUGGGGUCUGAGGGGUCGCCUGUGACACAGAGUGCCAGGUGCCAGAGCUCACCCCGCAGGGCAGGUUAUCUUAUCAUCCAGGCUGAUAAAACUCGGGAAAGUCGGGCCAUAAGGAACAAAUAUUUAUAAGCCCAACACCUUUCUGUCCCUGACAGAUUAGGCACAGAAUGUAAGCAGGAGCAGAGGGGUGAGUUACAAUCAACCUUGGUCUUUGGAGCCUGGUUUUUGAUCAGAACCGUCCUGAGCUCUUCCAGUCUUGAUGCGAAGGAUUCAUGGCGAGUGCUCAACUGGUUAGGAGAUGCUUUGACAUCUAUCACCUCACAUGACCCUGCUGACAGCCUGGUGAGGACCGAGCUGUUAUUACCCCAUUUUACAGUCGGGGAGACUGAAGCGCAGACAGGUUAAGUGCCCUUUCACACAGUUAGCCAGCAGGACUUGAAUGCAAGUUUACUGACUGCAGAACCUAUGUGCUUUCCACACGCCAAUAGUGGCCUGGAGUGGUUCUCUGCUCACUCAACUCUCCUUGGAAUUAGCAGCUCCCCAGGAAGCCUCCCUGUGUUGCCCUCAGUGUCCUAGUCACGGGCCCUGCCCCCCUGGCAGAUGAGGCCAACCGGCAUCAAGAGGGAGUAAAGGAGACAGUGACCCCGAUGGAGAUGGCCAUGGGGUGCUCUAAGAUAGCCCUUACCCCAAAAUACAUCCCUAAGGUUUCUACUGGGACUUGGAAUUCAUUCCUUUGGGUCCCCAAUUUUUUUCUGUUUAUCCAUUCUUCUGGGAAGAGGUUAUUAAAAGAUUAAACACAAAUGUGUUAGAAUGAGAGGCUCACCCUGGCUGGUGUGGCUCAGUGGAUUGAGACCUGGCCUGCGAC
Molecule: long non-coding RNA, 3798 nt
Organism: Phyllostomus discolor (pale spear-nosed bat)
Lineage: Eukaryota; Metazoa; Chordata; Mammalia; Chiroptera; Phyllostomidae
Exons: 3
Source: RefSeq, a predicted model, not a curated record